GAGUUUAUCGUGGCUCAGAUUGAACGCUGGCGGCAUGCCUUACACAUGCAAGUCGAACGGCAGCACGGGAGCUUGCUCCUGGUGGCGAGUGGCGAACGGGUGAGUAAUGCAUCGGAACGUAUCCUGGAGUGGGGGAUAACGUAGCGAAAGUUACGCUAAUACCGCAUAUUCUGUGAGCAGGAAAGCGGGGGACCUUCGGGCCUCGCGCUCUUGGAGCGGCCGAUGUCGGAUUAGCUAGUUGGUGAGGUAAAGGCUCACCAAGGCGACGAUCCGUAGCAGGUCUGAGAGGAUGAUCUGCCACACUGGAACUGAGACACGGUCCAGACUCCUACGGGAGGCAGCAGUGGGGAAUUUUGGACAAUGGGGGCAACCCUGAUCCAGCCAUGCCGCGUGAGUGAAGAAGGGCC
Molecule: ribosomal RNA, 407 nt
Filed under: bacterium enrichment culture clone ALO1_GLFRUDD03FR3BS
Lineage: Bacteria
Description: bacterial SSU rRNA
Rfam family: Bacterial small subunit ribosomal RNA
Source: RNAcentral